GACGUAGGGGACGAGCGUUGUCCGGAUUCAUUGGGCGUAAAGCGCGCGUAGGCGGUUACGCAAGUCGGUUGUGAAAGCCCCCGGCUCAACUGGGGAGGGGCACGCGAUACUGCUCGACUCGAAGGCAGGAGAGGGAAGUGGAAUUCCCGGUGUAGUGGUGAAAUGCGUAGAUAUCGGGAGGAACACCGGUGGCGAAGGCGGGUCUCUGGGCCGUAACUGACGCUGAGGAGCGAAAGCAUGGGGAGCGAACAGG
RNAcentral lists this ribosomal RNA (253 nucleotides) under uncultured bacterium. RNAcentral's name for it is "partial 16S ribosomal RNA". It matches the Rfam family "Bacterial small subunit ribosomal RNA", at positions 524 to 776 of the family's 1533-position model. The record is from RNAcentral.